ACAAGAGAUGGAUGGGAGUUCGACUCCUGGUUUGGGAAGAUCCCCAGAGGAGGAAAUGGCGAUCCACUCCAGCAUUCUUGCCUGGAAAAUUCCACGGGCAGAGGAGCCUGGUGGGCUACAGUCCAGGGGGGCCUCAAAGAAUCAGACACGACUGAGCAACUCAGCAAAACACAAGAUAAAAUGAAGUCAACAGAGUGGACACAGGCUUCUCUCUGGAGACUGGGGCGGGGGUGCACCUCUCCCCUUCGCAGACACGUCCGAGGACUGCUGCUGCAGAAAGAAGAGGCAGUACCCAGGGACAAACCACGUGCAAGGCCCCCAGCCCUAGGAGGGGCUGAGAGACCCUCAGGGCCUAUGCUUUGGUACAGACGUGUCACUAGCUAUGGCACCGGAAUCUGGCCGGGCUGUUUCCCGGCUGGAAGCUUUCCAUGGCUCCCCACUGCCUGCGGGGACAAAGUCCAGACUCUGUGGCCCGUGUGUAAGGCCCUCUGCCCAGGGUCUCAACUGUCCCCUCCAGCUCCUCCUCUGUGCUUCCCUCUAUUUGACCUCUGCCUCCUUCACCCAGCCAUCUCCCGCUCACAGGCUUUGACCCAGCAGGGGCUGGAUCUCUUGGGCAACUUGUCCCUGCCCCCAACUCCAGUCUAGAUGGGUUAGGGGCUGCCUCUGCGAGCUCACCAGGCGCAUCUCUCCUGGGACCCUUACCUACAUCGCCUGGUUACUGCCUGGUCUCUUGAUCAUCACCCAGCCAGGGAUAGCAACUGUGGGCUUGGCGUAUCUGAAAGAACGUUCGGUAAAGGAAGAAA
Molecule: long non-coding RNA, 803 nt
Organism: Bos taurus (domestic cattle)
Lineage: Eukaryota; Metazoa; Chordata; Mammalia; Artiodactyla; Bovidae
Source: Ensembl